Long non-coding RNA from Notothenia coriiceps (black rockcod), 1283 nucleotides. RefSeq lists it as uncharacterized. The transcript is spliced from 2 exons. The record is from RefSeq and is a predicted model, not a curated record. Lineage: Eukaryota; Metazoa; Chordata; Actinopteri; Perciformes; Nototheniidae.
CAUGUUAAGUUGAUUGGUAAAUAAAUCUGUGUGUCAGAACCCCCCCCUGGAUGCUCCGGUGUUCAGCAGCAGCCUGUGGGGCCCCUCUGCAGACGACCUGGACCAGGUGGUGGAGCACUGCCUUCUGCCUGAGCUCAACAUCGGAGACUGGCUGACCUUCUCCCAGGCAGGGGCCUACACCAUGGGACAGCCCCUCCGCACCACCCCGGACUCACCAGCGCCCCCUGUGUACUACGUCAUCUCCUCCAGGGACUGGUAUGAGAUGCAGGACACUGGAGUCACCCAUGAGGCUACACUGAAGAACUUCUCUUUGGUCCCUUGUUUCCACAAUUCCUGCCACACAGAGGCCACUCUCUCUGUCCCCGCGUAGCAAUCAUCAGACUAGGAAUUCUUUACUUUCCUGCUUUCUGCUGCUAGCUUCCUCUGGUCCACAUUCCACGGGGUUGAAUGGAGCCGACUCAGCAGAUAUAGCAUUUUACAAACCCCAAUACAGAAUAAACUAAGCGAUUAAACCCUAAGUAGAUAUUUUAAGUGUGCAACAAAAUGGAUGAGUCCUAAAAGACAAAUGCAUUCUUCCCUUUGUUUUGCGCCGUUUACACACACACAGUAGACGUAUAAUGAUUCUAAAUGAUCAUAUUUAACAAAUCCUCUUAUCUAUGUCUUCAUUGCUUUUGCCAGUGUCGUAAAGUACAAUAUGUAUAACUGACUGAAGCUGUGUAUUUAAAUGAAAACACAGUUCUGAGAUAUUGUAGUGUGCUUUGCUACAGGAUGUGUAUUUAUGAAUUUAAUUGGUUGUGUAGUUUGAGUUUGAUCAGAGCUUGAUUACAUGUUUUCCCUACUCAGUGUUUUGAAGCUUGCAAAUGAAAGCGUGUUCACUCAUCUGUGAACAAAGCCAGUGUCAUCAUGAAGUCCUCUCGUGUAAUAAUGAUCAGUGCAGUCUGUUCUGGUUGAGAAACUGAACUAGUGUUUUUCUAAAACGCUAAGUAGCUUACUCCCUGACCAGUAAAAGAGCAGCAGGUAACUGUUAUACUUCGACAUAAUAAAACCGGUUUAUUAUUCAGCACGCGCUGCAGAUGGAACAAAGGAAGUGCUGAUGGAUAAAGAAUCAGCUAACAUGAAAUAACAAAGCAUUUCUAAUGCUAGAAAAAUGUAAUGCUAUUUAUCAAUAUUUCUUCAAGAUUUAGGACUGCUUUUAAAAUAAUAUGAUUUCCUUAUCUGUGUUUAAGGCAUGAUGAACUAUCUGGCAAUAAACACCUCAGUCACCUCAAUGACUGGACUGUGAA